RNAcentral lists this long non-coding RNA (730 nucleotides) under Numida meleagris (helmeted guineafowl). RNAcentral's name for it is "lncRNA (ENSNMEG00000011563.1)". The record is from RNAcentral. Lineage: Eukaryota; Metazoa; Chordata; Aves; Galliformes; Numididae.
GUUAGGAAUCAUUGUAAUUAGGCUAUUGGGUAAUCAGGUGAAAUCCGUUAUGUGCAACGUUACCCGAAAGAGAAUAGGUCAAAAACUAAGUCACUGCUUUGCUCAGGGCAGAAAGCUUCACAAAGGUGCACUGCAGAAUAGAUAAAUCAGUUUCCAGUAUGGUGUACAACUAAGGCCUUAUGAAUACUUUUUAAGCGGCAGCGGUCUGCUAAUUUUGCUGUGGUUAGCAUAAACAUGGCUAUCAGACUGGUGGCAAUGCAAGGAGCACAUUCAGUCCUACAGCCCUUUAGCGAUGUACUUUUCUGUUUCCAUUCAAUGGAUGGACCUUCGUCUUGGGUCCCUUCUGCUGAAAGCCCGGAGAAGGAAAGGCUGCAGUGCUUUUUCCUUUGGAUCAGUUCUUUAUCCAGAAUGCCAGAUGGACAAAACCACCAACUGGAAAGGAGAUCUGCCAAAGAAGAGGGAAAAUAUUUUCAUAUGUGUUAUACAGCUGAUUGGCAUAGAACUUAAUCUCAGCACCUGCUGGAAACACUUCAAGUGUGCAAGUUUUAUGCUGUUAAGGCUUUCCAGUUCAGACCUUCUGCUUUCUCAGCAUUAUGUUACAGGCUGGUCCUGCCUCUGUGGGGUUUUUACAGAGCCCUGUAUGGACUUGCUGAGUGAUGGCCAUGAAAUGGUAAAAUCUAGUGCACUGAGACUCCAGGACAACCUGUUCUUCCUUUUGAAAGUUAUGUAA